GACGAACGCUGGCGGCGUGGAUUAGGCAUGCAAGUCGAACGGUAUCAUCCUUUCGGGGGUGAGAGAGUGGCGAACUGGUGAGUAACACGUAGGUUAUCUACCCUCAAGACGGGGACAACCCAGGGAAACUUGGGCUAAUACCGGAUGUGAGCAACUUUUAGUUGUUUGAAAGGUGGCGUAAGCUGUCGCUUGGGGAUGAGCCUGCGUCCUAUUAGUUAGUUGGUGAGGUAACGGCUCACCUAGGCAAUGAUAGGUAGGCGGCCUUAACGGGUGGUCGCCCACACUGGGAUUGAGAUACGGCCCAGACUCCUACGGGAGGCAGCAGUCGAGAAUAGUCUACAAUGGUCGGAAGACUGAUAGUGCGACGCCGCGUGAACGAUGGAAUCCCUUCGGGGUGUAAAGUUCUUUUAUAUGUGAGCAGUGCUUCUUAAUAUUAAACAGUAUGGGGAGAGAGAUAUUAGCAUAUGAAUAAGCAACGGCUAACUCCGUGCCAGCCAGCCGCGGU
Molecule: ribosomal RNA, 505 nt
Filed under: uncultured bacterium
Lineage: Bacteria
Description: bacterial SSU rRNA
Rfam family: Bacterial small subunit ribosomal RNA
Source: RNAcentral